CCUUCGAUAGCUCAGUUGGUAGAGCGGUGGACUGUAGCCGGUGUCAUUGUAAUCCAUAGGUCGCUGGUUCAAAUCCGGCUCGAAGGA
Molecule: transfer RNA, 87 nt
Filed under: Heliconius melpomene (postman butterfly)
Lineage: Eukaryota; Metazoa; Arthropoda; Insecta; Lepidoptera; Nymphalidae
Description: tRNA HMEL006517
Rfam family: tRNA
About the family: Transfer RNA (tRNA) molecules are approximately 80 nucleotides in length. Their secondary structure includes four short double-helical elements and three loops (D, anti-codon, and T loops).
Source: RNAcentral